This 478-nucleotide ribosomal RNA is filed under the name uncultured bacterium. RNAcentral describes it as "partial 16S ribosomal RNA". It matches the Rfam family "Bacterial small subunit ribosomal RNA", at positions 28 to 507 of the family's 1533-position model. The record is from RNAcentral.
GAUGAACGCUGGCGGCGUGCUUAACACAUGCAAGUCGAACGGGAAAUAUUUCAUUGAGACUUCGGUGGAUUUGAUUUAUUUCUAGUGGCGGACGGGUGAGUAACGCGUGGGUAACCUGCCUUAUACAGGGGGAUAACAGUCAGAAAUGGCUGCUAAUACCGCAUAAGCGCACAGAGCUGCAUGGCUCAGUGUGAAAAACUCCGGUGGUAUAAGAUGGACCCGCGUUGGAUUAGCUAGUUGGUGGGGUAACGGCCCACCAAGGCGACGAUCCAUAGCCGGCCUGAGAGGGUGAACGGCCACAUUGGGACUGAGACACGGCCCAGAAUCCUACGGGAGGCAGCAGUGGGGAAUAUUGCACAAUGGGGGAAACCCUGAUGCAGCGACGCCGCGUGAAGGAAGAAGUAUCUCGGUAUGUAAACUUCUAUCAGCAGGGAAGAUAGUGACGGUACCUGACGAAGAAGCCCCGGCUAACUACGUG